This is a long non-coding RNA of Sander lucioperca (pikeperch), 146 nucleotides long. RefSeq lists it as uncharacterized. Lineage: Eukaryota; Metazoa; Chordata; Actinopteri; Perciformes; Percidae. The record is from RefSeq and is a predicted model, not a curated record. The transcript has 3 exons.
GAAACUUCCCAGUUGAUUAUUUACAUUAAGAGAUUUUUUUGUAUUACAGGUUUUCUGAACUUUCAUGUUUAUUAUGCAAAUGAGACAUUAUGUUAUUAAAUAUGUGCUUAUUUGCAUAAAUAAAGAUGUUUUGGGAUUUCUAACUU